AGCAAUUCAGAUUUUCAUUCCAUGGAAACAUAAGAAAUCAAAUUAAACAUAAGAAAAUUCAACAAGAAUACAUCUUUCCAAAGGAAAUCCAUCCACCUUACAACAUCAACAUAUCCAGUGUAGUCCCACAAAGUGAGGUAUGAGGAGAAAAAGGUGUAUGAGACUCUACCUCAAGUUGAACAAAAGAAAAAGUCGUAAAGAAAGUACAACGACAAUAGAUAGUAACAAAAACAACAUAUAGCAACAGAAUAGUACUACAACAAACUAAUAAUAUAAAGGAACUAUAUGAAAUAAUAAAUAAUAGCACAAAUUGAAGAACAAGAAACUACAAGAGUAGUCCUAUGGGUACAUCCACUAGGGGUCGAGCUAGCAUACGAACUAUGGAUUCGACCGAAGCCAGUAACUUUGUUCAAAAUUCUUUAUUUGUCUCAAAAAAUCUCUUGAAUAAGUAUAAAUUAUUAAUUUAAGAUCCAAUAAUUCAAAUAAACUAAAAUUUCAAAUCCAUAAACUUCAAAUCCGAGCUCCGUCUCUUCCAUCCACCAUACAUAAAACAAUCUUUUUUAUAUAUUAAAAAAAAAUGAAGAAAUUGAAAUAAGUACAAGUUUG
Molecule: long non-coding RNA, 606 nt
Filed under: Capsicum annuum
Lineage: Eukaryota; Viridiplantae; Streptophyta; Magnoliopsida; Solanales; Solanaceae
Description: long non-coding RNA (CANN_LNC019899)
Source: RNAcentral